UAGGGAAUAUUGGACAAUGGGGGCAACCCUGAUCCAGCCAUGCCGCGUGAGUGAAGAAGGCCCUCGGGUUGUAAAGCUCUUUUGUCCGGAAAGAAAAGCAUUCGGUGAAUACCCGGAUGUUCUGACGGUACCGGAAGAAUAAGCACCGGCUAACUUCGUGCCAGCAGCCGCGGUAAUACGAAGGGUGCAAGCGUUACUCGGAAUUACUGGGCGUAAAGCGUGCGUAGGUGGUUGUUUAAGUCUGAUGUGAAAGCCCUGGGCUCAACCUGGGAAUGGCAUUGGAAACUGGGCAGCUAGAGUGCGGUAGAGGGUAGUGGAAUUCCCGGUGUAGCAGUGAAAUGCGUAGAGAUCGGGAGGAACACCAGUGGCGAAGGCGGCCAUCUGGACCAGUACUGACGCUGAGGCACGAAAGCGUGGGGAGCAAACA
RNAcentral lists this ribosomal RNA (427 nucleotides) under uncultured bacterium. RNAcentral describes it as "bacterial SSU rRNA". It matches the Rfam family "Bacterial small subunit ribosomal RNA", at positions 355 to 774 of the family's 1533-position model. The record is from RNAcentral.